CCUAACACAUGCAAGUCGAACGAAGUAGCAAUACUUAGUGGCAGACGGGUGAGUAACAUGUGGGUAUCUGCCCUUUGGCCUGGAAUAACACGAGGAAACUUGUGCUAAUACUGGAUAAGUCUUUACGGAGAAAGCUUUAUGCACCAUUGGAUGAGCCCGCACUUGAUUAGUUUGUUGGUGGGGUAAUGGCCUACCAAGACUGUGAUCAAUAGCUGAUUUGAGAGGAUGAUCAGCCACAUUGGGACUGAGACACGGCCCAAACUCCUACGGGAGGCAGCAGUGGGGAAUCUUGCACAAUGGAGGAAACUCUGAUGCAGCGAUGCCGCGUGAGUGAAGAAGGCCCUUGGGUUGUAAAGCUCUUUCGUCGGGGAAGAAAAUGACUGUACCCGAAUAAGAAGGUCCGGCUAACUUCGUGCCAGCAGCCGCGGUAAUACGAAGGGACCUAGCGUAGUUCGGGAUUACUGGGCUUAAAGAGUUCGUAGGUGGUUGAAAAAGUUGGUGGUGAAAUCCCAGAGCUUAACUCUGGAACUGCCAUCAAAACUUUUCAGCUAGAGUUUGAUAGAGGAAAGCAGAAUUUCUAGUGUAGAGGUGAAAUUCGUAGAUAUUAGAAAGAAUA
Molecule: ribosomal RNA, 616 nt
Filed under: uncultured marine bacterium
Lineage: Bacteria
Description: bacterial SSU rRNA
Rfam family: Bacterial small subunit ribosomal RNA
Source: RNAcentral